UACGUAGGGUGCGAGCGUUGUCCGGAAUUAUUGGGCGUAAAGAGCUCGUAGGCGGUUUGUCGCGUCUGCUGUGAAAACUGGAGGCUCAACCUCCAGCCUGCAGUGGGUACGGGCAAACUAGAGUGCGGUAGGGGAGAUUGGAAUUCCUGGUGUAGCGGUGGAAUGCGCAGAUAUCAGGAGGAACACCGAUGGCGAAGGCAGAUCUCUGGGCCGUAACUGACGCUGAGGCACGAAGGCCAGGGGAGCAAACGGG
Molecule: ribosomal RNA, 253 nt
Filed under: uncultured bacterium
Lineage: Bacteria
Description: partial 16S ribosomal RNA
Rfam family: Bacterial small subunit ribosomal RNA
Source: RNAcentral